Long non-coding RNA from Formica exsecta, 1044 nucleotides. RefSeq lists it as uncharacterized. The record is from RefSeq and is a predicted model, not a curated record. NCBI's taxonomy places the organism in Eukaryota, Metazoa, Arthropoda, Insecta, Hymenoptera, Formicidae. The transcript has 2 exons.
AGAAAAUGAUUAUUCCGCAUUAUAUUUGAAUCGUAAAUUCUAGAUUAUGAUGUCUAUAAAUAGAAUUUAAAAAUCUCAUAGCAAUUAUGAUAUGCUAAUGAUACCUUGGACGUAAAACCAGCUCGACAAUAUCGAUUGAACACAGUAGUUUUGUUAUCUUGCGCGGGCCAUCCGGGCCAGUCGGACCCCGUAUUCCAGAGGAAAUUGACAGUAUGAUUGAUUUGAAGAAGACCCAUUGUUGGCAUUCAUGUAACGGAUCUGAGAACCGCAAAGCUUUCCCGCGUAUCACUGAUUCUUACGAAUUCUUCAUCGCUCCACAGAUUUCAACAAAAGGUGUGUAAAGGAAGCUAUUAUCGUUAUUUUAAUCUGAAACUGCUUUUGCGCGUAAAUAUAUUUAUACUUACAAUUUAUUUAGAUUGAUUUGGGGAUAACAAAAUCUAUAUUAUUAAAAAUAUAUCUUUAAAAUAUUCCAUAUAAACUGUAAAAUUCUCGAAAACAGAACUUAAUGUAAAUAUGAAAAGCGCAUGCUUAAUUUUCAAUACAAUCCAAUAAGUCGUGACGAAACCCACUGCGACACUUCUGAUACCUGUUGAAUCCUCGAUACUUUUCCAAUGAUGAGUACAUCUCUUGCAGGUAUAUCAAGAAGUAUUCGCUCGAGACUAAUUAAAGAUUGUUAUUUUGAAAGAAUCAAGCGGAAAAAUAAAUAGAGCAUAAUCACACGAUGAAGAGAACUGAGCGAAGAUGAUAUACGGAUGGAAGUGGAGGCAAGACUGAACGAUGACGACGAGGACACACGCGAGUCAGAUGGUAGAAUCUGAUAUUUCGCAGGCGCGCGCCGCAGGGAUGUUUUAAGGCGCCCUUGUUAAAAGCUAUUGGAUCACAUUGAUAUCUCACCGCGAAAAUCAUUUCAUGAAAUCCCUCGUUCUCUUCCCCUGACAAUGAGCUAUUAAAAAGCCAAUCAUUUGAGACCAAUCGAGAAAAGGUUGAGUUUUCACAGAAAACUCGAUGUAUCUUCGUCGUAUAAUAAACAAAAUUUUUAUAAAA